This 226-nucleotide long non-coding RNA is filed under the name Lathyrus oleraceus (garden pea). RNAcentral's name for it is "Pisum sativum (pea) long non-coding RNA (PSAT_LNC023930)". Lineage: Eukaryota; Viridiplantae; Streptophyta; Magnoliopsida; Fabales; Fabaceae. The record is from RNAcentral.
AAAUAGGUUUGUGUAUGGUUGAUGUAUAAUAAAUGACAAGUACUUGAAUGAAUAAGUAACACAACUUAUAUCCAAGCAUUUGAGGAGAGGAAUCGAAGACUCAAGACCAUCUCCCUUUUCAUAUAGUUUUGAUUAAUUUAUUAAUUUGCGGAAAAAAUGACAAUUGUUCGACUGACCGAGUAAAAGAACUCGUAUUCAAACAAUUGGAGAGAGAAGUUGAAGACUC